Limanda limanda (common dab) is the source of this 455-nucleotide long non-coding RNA. RefSeq lists it as uncharacterized. The record is from RefSeq and is a predicted model, not a curated record. NCBI's taxonomy places the organism in Eukaryota, Metazoa, Chordata, Actinopteri, Pleuronectiformes, Pleuronectidae. The transcript is spliced from 3 exons.
UGGUCACCAACCAGUGGAGAGUCUUCACUGUGGAUCCCAGUAAAGCUCUGAGCCAGAUACACACACGCACACACACAGACACACACUCACACACAGAGUCAUGUGAUUUCCAGUAACUGCCGAGCGGAGGAGGAGUCUCCAGUGAAAGUGAAAGUGUUCAGACUCGUUCUAACUACGAGGAGCAGACGUGAAGUCUGAGGCUGCAGUGGUCACCAACCAGUGGAGUCUUCACUGUGGAUCCCAGUAAAGCUCUGGACUCACUGGCUGAGAUAAAGAUUGAAACUGGUGUGAAAGAUCAUUUCACUGUGUUCUGCUUUAAACUGAGCGCAGAACCAGAAGGAAAUAGACCAGACCUUGAAUAUCUAGAAGAGCAGCGCGGCCUGAACCACAACUGAGCCGCAGCCGGCCCGGUGCAACAUGGACGAGGACACUUCAGAGCAAGUUGGACCCUCACA